GACAGAGGGUGCAAACGUUGCUCGGAAUUACUGGGCGUAAAGCGCGUGUAGGCGGGCAUGCAAGUCGAGUGUGAAAUCCCUGGGCUCAACCCAGGAACUGCAUUCGAGACUGCAUGUCUAGAGUGUCGGAGAGGGAAGCGGAAUUCCUGGUGUAGAGGUGAAAUUCGUAGAUAUCAGGAGGAACACCGGUGGCGAAGGCGGCCUUCUGGACAGUGACUGACGCUGAGACGCGAAAGCGUGGGGAGCAAACAGG
Molecule: ribosomal RNA, 253 nt
Filed under: uncultured bacterium
Lineage: Bacteria
Description: partial 16S ribosomal RNA
Rfam family: Bacterial small subunit ribosomal RNA
Source: RNAcentral